CUUCACAACUUUUCAUUUCUUCUUUCACUUAGUCAGGAGCUUUUGGCCAAAAACUCUCCACUGCUUGGCGAACUGAAUCUGGAAUUCCUCCCAUCAAGUAAAAGCUUUCUCUUCUCUUAAGGGCCUCCUUUGCUAUAACAUGAGCGUAGACAUUCUCUGCCUUAGGGAUAAAAUGAAAGUCGAUCUCCUGGAAUCUAUCUUUUUUGCUUUGUAUGUCUCUGAUAAUUGCUCCAAUGACAGAUUUGUCUGUAUCACUUCUUUGGCAUUUCUUAAUGAUAGUUUUCGAAUCUCCCACUACUUCUAUUUUGUUUAACCCCAUAGAAAUCCCUAAUUUUAUUGCCUGUAAUCCUGCAUAUGAUUCUGCCGUGAACGAAGUUGCUAUCUCGGAGUGCAUGACUGCCUUCGAUGCGAGGAUCUCCCCCUCCUCGUUCAGUACAAGCAAACCCGUAGUCGAUCUGGACGAUAGUCGGUCGAAGGUUGCGUCAAAAUAAACUGUGAUCUUUCCCCUUCUACAUAUCUGUUGAGUAUUUUCAGCUGGUUGAAGAGUAAAUCUUGUCUCCUCUAUUGCAUCCAGUUCUACCAUAUAGUUCCGAGUUUGUCUUGCUAUUUCGAUUCCUGUCAUAUGUCUUCUUUCAUAUAAUAACUUAUUUUUGCUGAACCAGAUUAACCAAAGACCAUAACAAAAGAGCCAGAUCUGCUCAUCUGUUCCUUUAUCAUAGACCCAGGUAAGCCAUUGCCAUAUAUUCAGAUUAUUAUGGCUGAAAACCUAUGCUAGUCUUAACUGAUUCCAAACUUCAAUUGUAAAUGGACAUUGUUGAAAAAUAUGAGUGUUGUCCUUAUCUCCUUGGCGACAUCUAGGACAUUGGGCAUCCACCACAACCCUCUUGAGCCUAAGGUUGACAAGAGACGGAAUGAAGUUCCAAGAUAUUCUCCAAACUGUAAUUUGAAUUUUUGAGGGGAUGUAUAAUUUCCAUAGUUUUCUGUAGAAAUUUUUAAUUUCGGUCUGUCAAAUAAUAGUAUUAGGAUCCAAGCAAAUUUCAUGUAAUAGUUUGUAGGCACUCCUAACGGAGAACUCCCCUGUCAACUCCCCUUUCCAUACUUGAAAAUCUUCGUGUGCUGUCUUCGCUAGCGGGAUCUUCAGAGUUUUUUCCGCUACAUCCAUUUGGAAGGUAUUCCUUGUGACCUUUGUUUUCCAGCUUCUAGUGAUGGCUUCGAUUAAAUUUGAAACUAACUUAAUAUUAUCAUUGUUGUCUUGGUUUGAUAUUCUAUCUGAUUCAUUUCCUGAUAUCAAUAAAUCAUCCCAAACAGAUAUUUGAUCCCCUCUCUCAACCCUCUAGCAUAAUCCUUUCUCCAGAAGCCCUCUCGUAGCCCAAACACUUUUCUAG
RNAcentral lists this long non-coding RNA (1385 nucleotides) under Gossypium barbadense (sea-island cotton). Its description in RNAcentral is "long non-coding RNA (GBAR_LNC006568)". The record is from RNAcentral. Lineage: Eukaryota; Viridiplantae; Streptophyta; Magnoliopsida; Malvales; Malvaceae.